AAUGAGAGGGAAGUGAGGUAUCAUUGUAAAUUCGCGUCGCUAUUAAUUUGUGGCAUGAGGAAGCUGCAUCUGAGGCGUAAUUUGUGAUAAUGAUUUUCUCUGUGAAUCGCCUCUUCCUCGAUUCUCACUUCUGUUUCUUCUUCUUUUCAUUCCUCUUGCAGAGAAAAAUGGUGCGCCUUUGUUGGAGAUGAAGCGCAAAGUUGAAGACGACGAAGGUUGAAGCUUGGAAGAGCGAGAUUGAAACAAAAUUGUUGCAGAGAUUUGGAGAGUGAAGAAUGCGGAAAUUUGAGAGUGAAGAACGAAGAAGAGGAAAAUAGAAUGAAGAUGUGGAAGAAGAUUGAAGAUUAUGCAGAAAAAUGGUUGAAGUUAUGAUGAUUUUCACUGCCGUGGGGCUUUUUUUGGAAAUAUUCUGUGAAUAGAGGAAAGGUGGAUGUACAUGUUACAGAUCUUGGAGUUAUGCGAAAGGUUUUAUCAGCUUCAGUGGAACUGCUCUUCCAUAAACAUGUUGCUACAGGUUGAAAUAGAAUUUGGAGAGUUAGAAAGUUAGUUUGAAAAUGUUAAUAUAUUAUUUAUUUUGAUUGGAAUUUGUAGGUGGGAUUGUUUGAAUUCUAUGUGUGUAGAAUAAUAAAUUGAAUUGUGGAUGUGAAAAUGUAUUUUGAAUUGGAAUUGA
Molecule: long non-coding RNA, 670 nt
Organism: Lathyrus oleraceus (garden pea)
Lineage: Eukaryota; Viridiplantae; Streptophyta; Magnoliopsida; Fabales; Fabaceae
Exons: 3
Source: RefSeq, a predicted model, not a curated record